Molecule: ribosomal RNA, 468 nt
Filed under: uncultured bacterium
Lineage: Bacteria
Description: partial 16S ribosomal RNA
Rfam family: Bacterial small subunit ribosomal RNA
Source: RNAcentral
GACGAACGCUGGCGGCGUGCUUAACACAUGCAAGUCGAACGGAAAGGCCCUGCUUUUGUGGGUUGCUCGAUUGGCGAACGGGUGAGUAACACGUGAGUAACCUGCCCUUGACUUUGGGAUAACUUCAGGAAACUGGGGCUAAUACCGGAUAGGAUCUCCUGCUGCAUGGUGGGGGUUGGAAAGUUUCGGCGGUUGGGGAUGGACUCGCGGCUUAUCAGCUUGUUGGUGGGGUAGUGGCUUACCAAGGCUUUGACGGGUAGCCGGCCUGAGAGGGUGACCGGCCACAUUGGGACUGAGAUACGGCCCAGACUCCUACGGGAGGCAGCAGUGGGGAAUAUUGCACAAUGGGCGGAAGCCUGAUGCAGCAACGCCGCGUGCGGGAUGACGGCCUUCGGGUUGUAAACCGCUUUCGCCUGUGACGAAGCGUGAGUGACGGUAAUGGGUAAAGAAGCACCGGCUAACUACGUG